RNAcentral lists this ribosomal RNA (964 nucleotides) under Staphylococcus aureus. RNAcentral describes it as "partial 23S ribosomal RNA". It matches the Rfam family "Bacterial large subunit ribosomal RNA", at positions 12 to 972 of the family's 2925-position model. The record is from RNAcentral. Lineage: Bacteria; Bacillati; Bacillota; Bacilli; Caryophanales; Staphylococcaceae.
UAAGGGCGCACGGUGGAUGCCUUGGCACUAGAAGCCGAUGAAGGACGUUACUAACGACGAUAUGCUUUGGGGAGCUGUAAGUAAGCUUUGAUCCAGAGAUUUCCGAAUGGGGAAACCCAGCAUGAGUUAUGUCAUGUUAUCGAUAUGUGAAUACAUAGCAUAUCAGAAGGCACACCCGGAGAACUGAAACAUCUUAGUACCCGGAGGAAGAGAAAGAAAAUUCGAUUCCCUUAGUAGCGGCGAGCGAAACGGGAAGAGCCCAAACCAACAAGCUUGCUUGUUGGGGUUGUAGGACACUCUAUACGGAGUUACAAAGGACGACAUUAGACGAAUCAUCUGGAAAGAUGAAUCAAAGAAGGUAAUAAUCCUGUAGUCGAAAAUGUUGUCUCUCUUGAGUGGAUCCUGAGUACGACGGAGCACGUGAAAUUCCGUCGGAAUCUGGGAGGACCAUCUCCUAAGGCUAAAUACUCUCUAGUGACCGAUAGUGAACCAGUACCGUGAGGGAAAGGUGAAAAGCACCCCGGAAGGGGAGUGAAAUAGAACCUGAAACCGUGUGCUUACAAGUAGUCAGAGCCCGUUAAUGGGUGAUGGCGUGCCUUUUGUAGAAUGAACCGGCGAGUUACGAUUUGAUGCAAGGUUAAGCAGUAAAUGUGGAGCCGUAGCGAAAGCGAGUCUGAAUAGGGCGUUUAGUAUUUGGUCGUAGACCCGAAACCAGGUGAUCUACCCUUGGUCAGGUUGAAGUUCAGGUAACACUGAAUGGAGGACCGAACCGACUUACGUUGAAAAGUGAGCGGAUGAACUGAGGGUAGCGGAGAAAUUCCAAUCGAACCUGGAGAUAGCUGGUUCUCUCCGAAAUAGCUUUAGGGCUAGCCUCAAGUGAUGAUUAUUGGAGGUAGAGCACUGUUUGGACGAGGGGCCCCUCUCGGGUUACCGAAUUCAGACAAACUCCGAAUGCCAAUUAAUU